GCCGGGUAUGGUGACGGGUGCCUGUAAUCCCAGCUACUAGGAGGCUGAGGCAGAAGAAUUGCUUGAACCCGGGAGGUGGACGUUGCAGUGAGCCGAGAUCACACCACUGCACUCCAGCCUGGGCUACUGAGCAAGACUCUGUCUCAA
This 147-nucleotide non-coding RNA is filed under the name Pan paniscus (pygmy chimpanzee). Lineage: Eukaryota; Metazoa; Chordata; Mammalia; Primates; Hominidae. The record is from Rfam by way of RNAcentral. RNAcentral also lists the same sequence under 1 other name.